This is a long non-coding RNA of Betta splendens (Siamese fighting fish), 5992 nucleotides long. RefSeq lists it as uncharacterized. The transcript is spliced from 2 exons. Lineage: Eukaryota; Metazoa; Chordata; Actinopteri; Anabantiformes; Osphronemidae. The record is from RefSeq and is a predicted model, not a curated record.
GAGACAGAGACGAGAGGAGGGAGGGAACAGGGAUGCUGCCUUUUAGUGAUAGCGGCAGGAGCCGACAGGAGGACGGGGGAGAAUCGAUGGGAGAGGCAGAAAUUAGCAGCGGAGCGGAUUCCCCCGACAGGUGAAACCGUCACUCGGCUGCGGGUGAGAAACUGUGAUCCAGUGGAUCCGACCGUGGGAGGCCACAGACCUCCCGCCUGUCACGGCAGCGCGGUGAAUCACGCAUCCGUCCACGAGUCCGCGCAUAUGCUCUCCCCCUCAUCCGUCCUGUCCCUCCGGCCGUUCCUCGCCCGUCUCCCUUCUCUCCCAGGCUCCUCCCCCCGCUUCCCUCCGUAUUCAUUUUACAAUCAUCUCUUCAUUCCACCCACACCCUGCCCCCCCCCCCCCCCCCCCCCCUCCCUGCCCCCCCCUUCCUCCCUCCACAUCUCCUCUGUCAAUUUCACACAAUCCCAACAGCUUCUUGCUGUUGCUACGCUUCAGCGUGUCCACAGGACAUUUAACACCAUUUUAUCCAUUUUAUCCUCAGAGUGCGACGAGCGAAGGCGCAGCGGAGAGGAGGAAGAGGAGGAAGAGGAGGAAGAGGAGCAAACUUGCAUGACUGUGGUGCCUCCGUCACCCGCGUCUGUCUGAGACCAGGCGCGAGCGCCUCGUCCUGGGGUUCAGGACGCAGAUGAUGAACAGAUCCUGACGUGACGUGAGAGAGAGGAAUAAAGAAAAAAAAAGGAAAAAAAAGAAAGAGAGGAGCGUUUGCGAGCUUCUGGAAGGAGAAGGGAGGAGAGAGAGAGCAGUAUGAGUCAGAGCAGAGCAGCCACAGCGCUGUGCGUUCUGCAUGCAAGACAAGUGCUACGGCGGGAACAAUGAGACAGAUACAGGGGGUGGAAAUAAAAAGGACCUGACCGGGAUCCAGCAGUCACUAGACAGAAGGACAGGAUGAGGGCAGGGGGGUGUAGGCCGGGUGAGUAAGCCUGCUACAGGGGGAGGAAGUCCAGGAAGUGGACGCUUUGGUGCGACUGGAGCUGAGUAAAGGUCUGCAUCAGGACGGCGAAGGACGGAGGGACAGAGUCUGUGAGGAAGAGGGACGAGGGUCCUGCGUGACUGCGUGCCGCCGCGGGGCGAGGGGCGCCAUUGGCCGCGUCGGACACCACAGAAGAAGAGCGGCGCGGAGCAGGAGCAGCGGAGGAGCCGGACGUGGAGCCAGAAGAGGCGGGGACGACCUCCGGCGCCCGAGCAGCGAGACAGACGCCCGGGAGGAGCCCCAGUAGAACCAGAGGUCCGGCCCACAGCCGGUUCAGCGGUGACGUAUUGAUGCUGACAGGCCACUCUGGAACCAGGAGGGCGAACGUGGGGCGAGGAGGCGAGGGGGCUUUUGACAAGCUGUUAGAGCGGUCACGUGACGCUGAGAAGUUGACAUCGAGACAGGAGGCUUGAAUCAGCAGGGACGGGCUUUCCUCUCUGUGGACUCCAGCUGUGCAGCAGCGUGACAGGACCGUAGCAGAAGCAGGUCCAGCUGUGUGGUCGUUUUUGCUGCCGGACACCCUGUACCUGCGUGGACUGCGACUGACGGGGAAACGGAAACGCCGCGGAGGCUUCUAUUAAUGCUCCCUGCUCUGUCCCGCGCUCGCUCGCGUCUCAUUACAAAGAUUUGGCCAGUGGAGGUCUGCUGUCAUGGCUUGAGGAAGGAGACGUGCGGAGCGUUGAUGCGCAUCAGCAUGAAGGAUCCUUUAAUUGGAGGCAGGAUGCGUGCGUUGAUUGAAUGAAGUCACGAUGGCUCCGAAUGUCACGAAGGCACCAAGGUAGAGGCUGAACCACCGCUCCCUCCCUCCCUCCCUCCGCGCGCCGCGCCGCGCCAUCAGCACACGACGACGCGAUGCCUCCGUCUCCGUCCAGCUGCGCAUAGACCAGCUGCGCGCGCGCGAGCGCACCGGGACGCGGGGGACCGUCGAGGAGCUCAGCUGUGUCUGCGUGCGCGACCGUCGGCGCGGAGGUGCGCGCGCGUGCGCCGAUCUUCGGACCCAGCUGCGUCCGAGCGCGUUAUCCGAGCGCCGCCCCCCCUCCACCACCACCACCACCACCACCGGAGCCGCGUGCGCUCGCGUGUGUGCGUGUGCGUGCGUCGCCUGGAUUCUCCCCACCAGCGACAGAGCUGGACCUGAACAGCGGUGGUGAGCGGGGGGACAGGGAGGGGGAGGAGGAGGAGGGGCAGGAGGAGGAAGCCAGCAGGACAGAGGAGAAGAAGAGGCUGACAACAUGCUCGGAUAAAGAGAAGACGGGAAGGAGUUUCUGGCUGCCCCCCUGGUGCAAUGUGUGGCGUCGCGCCCUGCGGGGGUGGGGUUCUGUGAUGGUAACCAUGGUCCCCGGCAGCCGCUAUGUCUGCAGCGCUCACGCUAGAGAGGAAGACUCCACCAACGACCGCGAGGAACGCAUCCUGGCCGUGCUGGGCAUCAUCGGCACCAUCCUCAACCUGUUAGUGGUCAUAUUUGUCUACAUCUACACCUCCGUCACUUAAGGCGUCAGUCCCCUCUUUAAAUACUGAUCCACUUGGAGGGCUGCCUGCGCAGAGCAGGCGCUGAGACGGGAUUCUGCUGGAUAGUAGCCAUAUGUAUCGACACCCGCAUCACUGCUUAUCCCUUCAAGACUGCUUGGCUUUCACCCCAUGACCUCUGCUGCAGGUGGAAUCAUUGACAGAUACGCCCGCAGACUUCCAAGAUUACAGUGCUCGUCUGUAAUCGGGCUGAUCCACUGGGACAUAUUUGAGUAUUAGUGAACUGCGUCUUGUCUUCCACCUGGUUAGCUCUGUGAUAGUCUACGCGUUCUGUUUGGGUUUGUUCUUUGCUUCUGUAAGAGAUCGAACAUGUCAUCACUACCAGAUGGACCUUGAGGGGCCUUGACCAAAUUAGCUAAUAAGAAAGAAAAGGCCCAUAUGUUGUUAUGACUAAAAGUGAAUUAUCAGACGAGGGGUGUUUCUACAACUGGGGACCCUUAAAUCUACCUGACCUCAACAUCAGUACAGACGUAAAGAUACUGACCUGCUGAAUAUUAGUUUCUGGACAUUAGAACCUCUUAGGGCGCUUUACAUGGACCUGAGGUGCCGGUAUGUGAGCUCACCGGAGGAGAGGUUCCUGGCUGUGCUGGGUGUCAUUGGCAUCGUGCUCAACCUGCUGCUGCUUCUCUUUGUCUACAUGUACACGUCCAUCUGAGGCCCGGGUCCAGGCACAGGGCGGGUCAUGGGGUCCGGCGUGUGCUCCCCAGCCACAGACGUGGUCCACACCUCAUGACGCUCUGGACUCUGUGCCUCGUGAUUUUGUGAUAUUCUAAUGCUAGUGGGUGAUGAGAGGAUCUGAAGGUGAUACUGUAAUGACUUCGUUCAAAGACUAGUAUUUUUGUGGAACAAUUGUGUCCUGAAGUUGGUGUUUUUGUACAUACAUAAUACUCCCUCACAUGUUUGCAUAAUGAAAUGUUUACUUAAGCUGAUAUUGGCAUAUUUCGGUACUUUGUACCAAGCUGAGGUAAAGAGUGUGGCGAUUCCACGCCGGCUGAUGUUGAAAAGGCACAGUCAUGGAACUGGAAGGUGACGAUGUCUCUGCACGUCAGCAGAGAGCUCACUGUGGACAAUGGGUCCCGCAGGACAAGAAUCGAUUUCCUGGGGUCACGCUUCUCAGAGCCGCGGACGGAGCAGCGUCAGCGAGGUCAAAGCCCGGCCUCCGGCAAAGUCAACCGGAUCCACAGGAAACACUUUGGAGGUGCAACGUGAAGCAACGCAACGGUCACAAAAGGGGGGCGGAGAGUUCGGUGUCUUCUCCACCAACAAACUCAAGCCGGAGAAGACAUAGUAGAGACGAGUUUCUAGUUCCACGCAGCACAAUGCUUUUCUACACUCGCACCUGUGAAACGGACCUUGUUUCACACAGAGGCUCCGUGAACAGUUAGCGACUGCUCGGCUCGUGUGGCUACGUGUACGUUUUUGAUAAUCGUUGCCUAUAUGAUCUUUUGUCACGUCGUGUAACGUUUUGUUUUUGGUAUCACAUUUCCAGCUGAGUGUGUUAUUAGCCGCUCCGUGUGCAGAGCGGACGGAGGGACCAGUUCAGGUACAGGCUCAAAGACUGUGGGCUUAAACUGGGCUUUAGAGCUUUAAGCUGAAAUAUGCAGCAUCGGUCCUAAAGCGGAGAGUCUGUCAGACACACUCACUGAAGAGCAGGGACAACCUGGUUCCUUGACUGCUCUUUUAGAUGCCAGUAACUAUAGUAUCAUCAUCUAGUUUCUCACCUGAAGCUCCCAUUAAGUAGAAAAACAUUAUUUAUAUUUAAUGAUAAUAAGAAAAAGGAUUUGUCAAUGGGACCUCACAUUUCUAAAAAUGGCCUCGCUCUCCAAAGGAUGUAAAACUUUAAUUGCCCCCCUCCCUAGCACACACACACACACUGGUUACUCGCAUCCUCCUUUGUGUGAUUAAUUUUACACCAUCCUUCAGCACACAUCAGCAGAGCGGAGUGUGAGCGCGCCGAGAUCGAUGUGACACUCACAUUUACUUCCUGUCAGAUCUGAUAACUGUGCGGCGGGGUUGUGGAGCUAAAUCUGGGUUUCAGCCCCGCACCAAAGCGCAGGAUGAGCCACCGCUGUUUGGCAAAGACGCCCGCUGUCGGACCGUGACAGUCGGGCCGCAGCUGAGCUGAAGCAUUAUUGACCCAAGUCUGAAAUAGCUGAAAGUGCUGGUAAUGCUCUUGUUAGAGGUUCACGAAUGCGAGCAAACAAACAAAACACACGAGCAUAGUUUAGAUUAUGCCUUAUAAGGUAUUGAUUGGUAUUUAGAGCAAAAUGGCAGCCGAUUAUUACUAUAUUAAAUACUGACAGAUGUAGCACAACUGAUGACUAAACAUCUGAAACCAAUGAACAGAGAGUCAUAGACGUUACUAGUUGAACAGGACCGAACUGUUGGUGAAUGAGUCCAACUCUGAGCGGCUGCAGCACCUGAGCUGGGUCGCCGCUUUUAGCUGAAACCGAUUUUAAUAAAACAAACUCGGUGCCAGUGAGGGCAGCGAGCCUUGGGGGGUUGAGCCGUUGCCAUCUGCUGUCCCAACAGAUACGCAGCCACCUCCUCAGCAGGAGCGCACACGCACCCGAACGCCCCGCAGGCCUCAAAUCAAACAGAAAACACACAGCUUCAUGAUUUAUUUGAUCCCUGUGCCCAGUCAUUUUUCAAUAAUUUCACGUAAUAAAUGGGCUAAUAUGCGCACACACAUUAUUUUAUGGACAUAGUCUUCAGCGCCAGAGGACAAACAGAUGCAUCGGUGUGCACCUGGGACCUAUCCACGGCCUCCGGCAGGAACGGGACUGUUCGCAGCGUCCAAACGCGUGAGGGGGAGGUUUAUUCAGAGUGCAGAUCCAAACGUGCUCGUUGUAAAUCUCGUCUACGUUCUGCCAAUGCAAAAGCUAGACUGCAGCCUCAUUGGACGCAAACUGCCCGAGACCAGAAAAGGGGGAAAUAGUGGAUUAAUAAUAGACAUUUUAACAUUGUUCUACAACUAAAGAGUGUGGAGCCGCUGAGUUCAAGCCAUUCUCAGAAAAUGAGACUGAAUAUACGAGAACGCUCACUGCCUUUUUUGUACAAAUUUGGGAUAAAUAAAUGUCCGUGUUGGUUGGUUUUUUAACUGUGUAUUUUAUUGCUGCACAAAAACACCCGGAUUGAGAAAAAGGUUGUGCCAUUCAUGCGGACAGACAGUGUGAAAUAUCAUCCAUCGACCAAACGUUCAUGCGACAUGCUGAUUAAUUACAAACUAACAUUCCAAGAUAUUAUUAGCAGCAAGUGGGAUAUUGUCUAUAAAACACUGUGUAUUAACAUUAUCUCCAUUCCUGAUUAAGCUUAUAAUGGAACCGUUUGUCACAAUCAAAUGCUGUGAGAUCUGGUGUAAUUUCAUGUAAUCUCUAUUUAUAUAAAUGUAUGUAUAUAAUGUAUACUUAUAAUUAUGGCAAUAAAAUGAAAAAAAAAACA